AGUUUGAUCCUGGCUCAGGAUGAACGCUGGCGGCGUGCCUAAUACAUGCAAGUCGAACGAAUCUCUUCGGAGAUGAGUGGCGAACGGGUGAGUAAUACAUAGGUAACCUGCCCCUGUGCGGGGGAUAACAGGAGGAAACUCCUGCUAAUACCGCAUAGCCAUGAGCACCGCAUGGAGCUCAUGCCAAAUAUCCUUUCGGGGAUAGCGCAGGGAUGGACCUAUGGCGCAUUAGCUUGUUGGCGGGGCAACGGCCCACCAAGGCAACGAUGCGUAGCCGGCCUGAGAGGGCGGACGGCCACAUUGGGACUGAGACACGGCCCAGACUCCUACGGGAGGCAGCAGUAGGGAAUUUUCGGCAAUGGGGGAAACCCUGACCGAGCAACGCCGCGUGAGCGAAGAAGGCCUUCGGGUCGUAAAGCUCUGUUGUAAAGGAAGAACGGCGCAUACAGGAAAUGGUAUGCGAGUGACGGUACUUUACCAGAAAGCCACGGCUAACUACGUGCCAGCAGCCGCGGUAAUACGUAGGUGGCGAGCGUUAUCCGGAAUCAUUGGGCGUAAAGAGGGAGCAGGCGGCCGCAAGGGUCUGUGGUGAAAGACCGAAGCUAAACUUCGGUAAGCCAUGGAAACCGGGCGGCUAGAGUGCGGAAGAGGAUCGUGGAAUUCCAUGUGUAGCGGUGAAAUGCGUAGAUAUAUGGAGGAACACCAGUGGCGAAGGCGACGGUCUGGGCCGCAACUGACGCUCAUUCCCGAAAGCGUGGGGAGCAAAUAGGAUUAGAUACCCUAGUAGUCCACGCCGUAAACGAUGGUCACUAAGUGUCGGGGGUCAAACCCCGGUGCUGCAGUCAACGCAAUAAGUGACCCGCCUGAGUAGUACGUUCGCAAGAAUGAAACUCAAAGGAAUUGACG
RNAcentral lists this ribosomal RNA (906 nucleotides) under uncultured bacterium. RNAcentral's name for it is "bacterial SSU rRNA". It matches the Rfam family "Bacterial small subunit ribosomal RNA", at positions 10 to 915 of the family's 1533-position model. The record is from RNAcentral.